GAUGAAGAACGUAGCGAAAUGCGAUAAGUAAUGUGAAUUGCGGAAUUCAGUGAAUCAUCGAAUCUUUGAACGCACAUUGCGCCCCCUGGUAUUCCGGGGGGCGUGCCUGUUCGAGCGUCAUUUCACCACUCAAGCCUCGCUUGGUAUUGGGCAACGCGGUCCGCCGCGUGCCUCAAAUCGACCGGCUGGGUCUUCUGUCCCCUAAGCGUUGUGGAAACUAUUCGCUAAAGGGUGUUCGGGAGGCUACGCCGUAAAACAACCCCAUUUCUAAGGUUGACCUCGGAUCAGGUAGGGAUACCCGCUGAACUUAAGCAUAUCAAUAAGCGGAGGA
Molecule: unclassified non-coding RNA, 331 nt
Filed under: soil metagenome
Description: partial contains 5.8S ribosomal RNA, internal transcribed spacer 2, and large subunit ribosomal RNA
Rfam family: 5.8S ribosomal RNA (bases 1-120)
Source: RNAcentral